Molecule: ribosomal RNA, 403 nt
Filed under: uncultured bacterium
Lineage: Bacteria
Description: partial 16S ribosomal RNA
Rfam family: Bacterial small subunit ribosomal RNA
Source: RNAcentral
AUUGAACGCUGGCGGCAGGCUUAACACAUGCAAGUCGAACGCGCGGCGGACGGGGUAGUAAUUUAUUGGGACUGCCCCGUUGAGGGGGAUCACUUCUGGAAAACGUAGCUAAUACCGCCUACUAUCGGCUAACCCAUAUGGGAUUAGCUAGUUGGUGGGGUAAUGGCUCACCCAGGCGACGAUCCCUAGCUGGUCUGCGAGGAGGAUCAGCCACACUGGGACGGAGACACGGCCCAGACUCCGACGGAGGCAGCAGUGGGGAAUAGUGCACAAGGGGCGCAAGCCUGAUGCAGCCAUGCCGCGUGUAUGAAGAAGGCCUUAGGGUUGUAAAGUACUUUCAGUCGGGAGGCGUUACCGACAGAAGAAGCACCGGCUAACUCCGUGCCAGCCGCCGCGGUAAUUC